Molecule: ribosomal RNA, 699 nt
Filed under: Enterococcus sp.
Lineage: Bacteria; Bacillati; Bacillota; Bacilli; Lactobacillales; Enterococcaceae
Description: bacterial SSU rRNA
Rfam family: Bacterial small subunit ribosomal RNA
Source: RNAcentral
GACGAGCACGCCGCGUGAGUGAAGAAGGUUUUCGGAUCGUAAAACUCUGUUGUUAGAGAAGAACAAGGACGUUAGUAACUGAACGUCCCCUGACGGUAUCUAACCAGAAAGCCACGGCUAACUACGUGCCAGCAGCCGCGGUAAUACGUAGGUGGCAAGCGUUGUCCGGAUUUAUUGGGCGUAAAGCGAGCGCAGGCGGUUUCUUAAGUCUGAUGUGAAAGCCCCCGGCUCAACCGGGGAGGGUCAUUGGAAACUGGGAGACUUGAGUGCAGAAGAGGAGAGUGGAAUUCCAUGUGUAGCGGUGAAAUGCGUAGAUAUAUGGAGGAACACCAGUGGCGAAGGCGGCUCUCUGGUCUGUAACUGACGCUGAGGCUCGAAAGCGUGGGGAGCAAACAGGAUUAGAUACCCUGGUAGUCCACGCCGUAAACGAUGAGUGCUAAGUGUUGGAGGGUUUCCGCCCUUCAGUGCUGCAGCAAACGCAUUAAGCACUCCGCCUGGGGAGUACGACCGCAAGGUUGAAACUCAAAGGAAUUGACGGGGGCCCGCACAAGCGGGGGAGCAUGUGGUUUAAUUCAAAGCACCGCGAAGAACCUUACCAGGUCUUGACAUCCUUUGACCACUCUAGAGAUAGAGCUUUCCCUUCGGGGAUAAAGUGACAAGGUGUUGCAUGGUUGUCGUCAGCUCGUGUCGUGAGAUGUU